RNAcentral lists this ribosomal RNA (570 nucleotides) under uncultured bacterium. RNAcentral's name for it is "partial 16S ribosomal RNA". It matches the Rfam family "Bacterial small subunit ribosomal RNA", at positions 355 to 919 of the family's 1533-position model. The record is from RNAcentral.
UGGGGAAUUUUGGACAAUGGGCGCAAGCCUGAUCCAGCCAUGCCGCGUGCGGGAAGAAGGCCUUCGGGUUGUAAACCGCUUUUGUCAGGGAAGAAAUCUUCUGAGUUAAUACCUCGGGAGGAUGACGGUACCUGAAGAAUAAGCACCGGCUAACUACGUGCCAGCAGCCGCGGUAAUACGUAGGGUGCAAGCGUUAAUCGGAAUUACUGGGCGUAAAGCGUGCGCAGGCGGUUUUGUAAGACAGAGGUGAAAUCCCCGGGCUCAACCUGGGAACUGCCUUUGUGACUGCAAGGCUUGAGUGCGGCAGAGGGGAUGGAAUUCCGCGUGUAGCAGUGAAAUGCGUAGAUAUGCGGAGGAACACCGAUGGCGAAGGCAAUCCCCUGGGCCUGCACUGACGCUCAUGCAUGAAAGCGUGGGGAGCAAACAGGAUUAGAUACCCUGGUAGUCCACGCCCUAAACGAUGUCAACUGGUUGUUGGGAAGGUUCCUUCUCAGUAACGUAGCUAACGCGUGAAGUUGACCGCCUGGGGAGUACGGCCGCAAGGUUGAAACUCAAAUGAAUUGACGGGGU